UACAGAGACCUCAAGCGUUAUCUGGAAUCAUUGGGCGUAAAGCGUACCGAUAGGUGGUUUUACAAGUCAGAAGUGAAAUCUCUCAGCUUAACUGGGAGACUGUCUUUUGAAACUGUAAAACUAGAGGGGCAAAGAGGAAGCUGGAACGAACGGUGUAGUAGUGAAAUGCGUUGAUAUCGUUCGGAACACCAAUAGCGUAGGCAGGCUUCUGGGUGCCACCUGACACUGCUAGGACGAGAGCGUGGGGAGCGAAUGGG
This 257-nucleotide ribosomal RNA is filed under the name uncultured bacterium. RNAcentral describes it as "partial 16S ribosomal RNA". It matches the Rfam family "Bacterial small subunit ribosomal RNA", at positions 524 to 776 of the family's 1533-position model. The record is from RNAcentral.